CUCUGCUUCAGCUGUGAGGCCACAGAAGGCAGGACUCAGGGAUGGACUCCACCAUGGCCUGGUCCCCUCUCCUGCUCACCCUCCUGGCUCACUGCACAGGAUCCUGGGCCCAGGCUGUGCUGACUCAGCCGCCCUCAGUGUCAGGCAGCCUAGGACAGAGGGUCACCAUCUCCUGCACUGGGAGCAGCACCAACAUUGGGCGUGGUGGUGGUCAUGUGUACUGGCUCCAACAGGCCCCAGGAAAAUCCCCUAGAAUCGUCAUCUAUGAUACUAGCAAUAGACCCUCUGUGAUUCCCCACCGCUUCUCUGGAUCCAGGUCUGGCAGCUCAGCCACCCUGACCAUCAGUGGGCUCCAGGUUGAGGACGAGGCCAACUAUUACUGCACAGCAUGGGACAGUAGUAGCAGUGCUCCCACAGUGCUGGUGGGCUGUGGGGAAGUGAGACAAAAACCUGCUGUCCCCUGCAGUGCAGUUCCCCGGUGCAGCCCCCACUCCUCUGAGAAGACAGCUGCUUUCUAG
This is a non-coding RNA of Phyllostomus hastatus (greater spear-nosed bat), 518 nucleotides long. Lineage: Eukaryota; Metazoa; Chordata; Mammalia; Chiroptera; Phyllostomidae. The record is from the annotation of a RefSeq genome assembly.